GGUGCAUCCUCGUCGCUGCGGCGCCCCUCGCACCCGCCGUAGCCAUGACUGAGCAGAUGACCCUUCGUGGCACCCUCAAGGGCCACAACGGCUGGGUCACCCAGAUCGCUUACGACCCCGCAGUUCCCGGACAUUGAUACUGUUCCGCUUCUCGAGAUAAGACCAUCAUCAUGUGGAAGCUGACCAGAGACGAGACCAACUACGGCAUCCCGCAGCGUGCUCUGCGGGGUCACUCCCAUUUCGUCAGUGACGUGGUCAUCUCCUCGGAUGGCCAGUUCGCGCUCUCAGGCUCCUGGGACGGGACCCUGCGCCUCUGGGAUCUCACAACGCAAGUAGCUGCUCGCCUAGCUGGGGGUGGCUUGGGAGAAAGCUGGGCGGAGAUGAG
Non-coding RNA from Microcebus murinus (gray mouse lemur), 385 nucleotides. Lineage: Eukaryota; Metazoa; Chordata; Mammalia; Primates; Cheirogaleidae. The record is from RefSeq and is a predicted model, not a curated record.